Molecule: ribosomal RNA, 442 nt
Filed under: Klebsiella pneumoniae
Lineage: Bacteria; Pseudomonadati; Pseudomonadota; Gammaproteobacteria; Enterobacterales; Enterobacteriaceae
Description: bacterial SSU rRNA
Rfam family: Bacterial small subunit ribosomal RNA
Source: RNAcentral
CCUACGGGUGGCUGCAGUGGGGGAUAUUGCACAAUGGGGGAAACCCUGAUGCAGCGACGCCGCGUGUGGGAAGACGGUCUUCUGGAUUGUAAACCACUGUCCCCAGGGACGAAAAUGACGGUACCUGGGGAGGAAGCUCCGGCUAACUACGUGCCAGCAGCCGCGGUAAUACGUAGGGAGCAAGCGUUAUCCGGAUUUACUGGGUGUAAAGGGCGUGUAGGCGGGCAUGCAAGCCAGAAGUGAAAUCUGGGGGCUUAAACCCCAAACUGCUUUUGGAACUGCGUGUCUUGAGUGAUGGAGAGGCAGGCGGAAUUCCCAGUGUAGCGGUGAAAUGCGUAGAUAUUGGGAGGAACACCAGUGGCGAAGGCGGCCUGCUGGACAUUAACUGACGCUGAGGCGCGAAAGCGUGGGGAGCAAACAGGAUUAGAUACCCUAGUAGUCC